Molecule: ribosomal RNA, 306 nt
Filed under: uncultured bacterium
Lineage: Bacteria
Description: partial 16S ribosomal RNA
Rfam family: Bacterial small subunit ribosomal RNA
Source: RNAcentral
GACAGCAGUAGCCGCGGGAAUACGAAGGGUGCAAGCGUUAAUCGGAAUUACUGGGCGUAAAGCGUGCGUAGGCGGUUUGUUAAGUCUGCUGUGAAAUCCCCGGGCUCAACCUGGGAAUGGCAGUGGAUACUGGCAAGCUAGAGUGUGUCAGAGGAUGGUGGAAUUCCCGGUGUAGCAGUGAAAUGCGUAGGUAUGCGGAGGAACACCGAUGGCGAAGGCAGCCCCCUGGGCCAACACUGACGCUCAUGCACGAAAGCGUGGGGAGCAAACAGGAUUAGAUACCCCAGUAGUCCCUGUCUCUUAUAA